Molecule: small RNA, 1454 nt
Filed under: Spiroplasma sp. CNA-1
Lineage: Bacteria; Bacillati; Mycoplasmatota; Mollicutes; Entomoplasmatales; Spiroplasmataceae
Description: bacterial LSU rRNA
Rfam family: Bacterial large subunit ribosomal RNA (bases 611-1454)
Source: RNAcentral
CCCCUUAUGUCUUGGGCUACACACGUGCUACAAUGGUCGGUACAAACAGUUGCGAUCUCGUAAGAGGGAGCUAAUCUGAAAAAGCCGAUCUCAGUUCGGAUUGAGGGCUGCAACUCGCCCUCAUGAAGCCGGAAUCGCUAGUAAUCGCGAAUCAGCAAUGUCGCGGUGAAUACGUUCUCGGGUCUUGUACACACCGCCCGUCACACCAUGAGAGUUGAUAAUACCAGAAGUCGGUAUUCUAACCGCAAGGAGGAAGCCGCCCAAGGUAGGAUUGAUGAUUAGGGUGAAGUCGUAACAAGGUAUCCGUACGAGAACGUGCGGAUGGAUCACCUCCUUUCUAUGGAGUUAAUACUUUAUAGUAAUUAACUAGUUUUAAUGACCGUUAUGUUUAGUUUUCAGAGAUUAGUUUCUCUGACAAUAACAAGUAAAUGUUAUUGGAAUUGUUCUUUGAAAACUGGAUAAUAGACAUCUAGUUAUUUUAAUCACAUGAUUAAAAUAACAAUAAUUCAAAAUUUCUGUUAUUUUUAAAAAAUAACUAAAAUUUCACAGUUAUAUUUGUAAAUGAUUCUCAAAAAACUGAUUUAAAAUCAGGUCAAAUAAUUUAUAAAACUUUGAAGUUACAAAGGGCGUAUGGUGAAUGCCUUGGGAAUAGGAGACGAUGAAGGACGUGACUACCUGCGAUAAGGUUCGGGGAGCUGGAAGUAAGCUUUGAUCCGGACAUGUCCGAAUGGGGAAACCCGGUGAGAUUAAUCUCUCAUCAUCCUAUAAUGAAUAAAUAGUUAUAGUGAAGGUAUACCUAGGGAAUUGAAACAUCUUAGUACCUAGAGGAAAAGAAAGCGAAUGCGAUUCUCUUAGUAGCGGCGAGCGAACGGGGAACAGCCCAAACCAGAUUUAUCUGGGGUUGUAGGACCAUAAUAGUAGAGUUACAAAACUUGUUUAUAGUAGAAAUGGUUGGGAAACCAUGCCGUAGAGGGUGAUAGCCCCGUAUACGAAAUAGACAAGACUCGAAAUGGAAUCCUGAGUACGGCGAGACACGUGAAAUCUUGUCGGAAUCAACGCGGACCACCGCGUAAGGCUAAAUACUACCUAUUCACCGAUAGUGAACCAGUACCGUGAGGGAAAGGUGGAAAGCACCCCGGGAGGGGAGUGAAAUAGUACCUGAAACCAUAUGCCUACAAGAAGUCGGAGCCCGUUAAUGGGUGACGGCGUGCCUUUUGUAGAAUGAGCCGGCGAGUUAUGAUAGCAUGCAAGGUUAAGUAGAAAAUACGGAGCCGUAGUGAAAGCGAGCCUUAAUAGGGCGUUUAGUAUGUUGUCAUAGACCCGAAACCAGGUGAUCUAGCCAUGAGCAGGUUGAAGUUGAGGUAAAACUUAAUGGAGGACCGAACCGACGUUCGUUGAAAAGACCGCGGAUGACUUGUGGCUAGGGGUGAAAUUCCAAUCGAACCUGGAGAUAG